UACGGGGGGGGUAAGCGUUGUCCGGAUUUACUGGGCGUAAAGAGCGCGCAGGCGGUCGUUCAAGUCGAGUGUGAAAGCCCCCGGCUCAACUGGGGAGGGUCAUUCGAUACUGAUCGACUCGAAGGCAGGAGAGGGAAGCGGAAUUCCCGGUGUAGUGGUGAAAUGCGUAGAUAUCGUAAGGAAGACCAGUGGCGAAGGCGGGUCUCUGGACAGUUCCUGACGCUGAGACGCGAAAGCGUGGGGAGCGAACAGG
This 253-nucleotide ribosomal RNA is filed under the name uncultured bacterium. Its description in RNAcentral is "partial 16S ribosomal RNA". It matches the Rfam family "Bacterial small subunit ribosomal RNA", at positions 524 to 776 of the family's 1533-position model. The record is from RNAcentral.